GGUCAAGCUACUAAGAGCGUAGAGUGGAUGCCUUGGCACCGAGAGCCGAUGAAGGACGUGAUAAGCUGCGAAAAGCUACGGGGAGUUGCAAAUAAACUUUGAUCCGUAGAUGUCCGAAUGGGGAAACCCGGCUGUGCAAA
RNAcentral lists this ribosomal RNA (140 nucleotides) under Niameybacter sp. Its description in RNAcentral is "partial 23S ribosomal RNA". It matches the Rfam family "Bacterial large subunit ribosomal RNA", at positions 1 to 140 of the family's 2925-position model. RNAcentral also lists the same sequence under 1 other name. Lineage: Bacteria; Bacillati; Bacillota; Clostridia; Lachnospirales; Lachnospiraceae. The record is from RNAcentral.